CCAGUCGCCCGUCCCUCGGAAAUGUUCCUGUGAAGGUCACCGGCCUGGCCUCCGGCGGAACGGGUGUGCGCAUCCCUUGGACGCGACGAUUGCUUCUAGUGUGACCUUCGGCACGCAAAGAUGUGGCAUCACGAUUACCUUGAGUGGCCCUUCCGUAGCACCAGCAAGUUCCUGCACGCCGAAUGGACUCGGGCGGUUCAGCACGGUGAAGCCCACAAGGCCAAGGUUGAAGCAAUCAGCAAAGUCUCGCCAGUCGCUCGUCCCGGACUAUGUGUGCUCUGUUGAGGGGCGGCCCGGCCUCACAGUAUAGAUGGGUAGUUGCUGGGGCCCUCGGACGGCCAUGGCUUCUCGUGUGGGACCGGUUUGCAGGAGGCUGUGGGCUAGGGUUGCUAAUGGGCUAGCCGAGCACAGAAGGGACAUAGUGUCCAAGCAUCCGGUUUUUCUGAGGCGGUUGAACAUGGGUGAGGCCAGCCGGUAGUGGUUAAGCCAUGGGCAUCGUCUGCAGUCGAUUCGUCUCCUCGGAAAGGUGCUUCAUGAGGUUGCCGGCCUGGCC
Molecule: non-coding RNA, 553 nt
Organism: Lupinus albus (white lupine)
Lineage: Eukaryota; Viridiplantae; Streptophyta; Magnoliopsida; Fabales; Fabaceae
Source: the annotation of a GenBank genome assembly